This 32-nucleotide non-coding RNA is filed under the name Homo sapiens (human). Lineage: Eukaryota; Metazoa; Chordata; Mammalia; Primates; Hominidae. The record is from RNAcentral.
UCCAGACCCACACUCUGUCACGUCGGGAGAGC